AUAUUAAUCAAUUAGUAUAGUGUUUUAAACUUAGGCAGUGUAGUAGUGAUACGGGCGUAUUGAUUUGUGUGAUAACUAUCUGAAGAAGUUUUUAUACAUUUUCUUUACAAUGUAUGUUUCUACAAUGAAUUAUGAUUAUCCAAUUGUUGUGAAGCAGACAUCUACACCGCCAAAGGGCAGAAGGCAGCAAAGACAAGAAAAGUUGCAGUUUGAGUUACCACCAGUAAACAAAGAAGAUUUUUAUAUUGGUAGCUUUGUUAUGAGUAAAAUUUCGGAUAACAUCCCGGAUUUGGAAGUUUGGAAGGUUAAAAGAUGAAGAAAUUCUCUGAGGCACUGAAAUACAAGUGGAUUCUCCAUUUAUUGAAGCGUUAUUGUAAAGUAAAAAGUUUUACUUUUAUUUUGGAUCAAAUGAAGUUGACCUGCUGUAA
Molecule: long non-coding RNA, 428 nt
Organism: Dalotia coriaria
Lineage: Eukaryota; Metazoa; Arthropoda; Insecta; Coleoptera; Staphylinidae
Exons: 3
Source: RefSeq, a predicted model, not a curated record